CCUACGGGGGGCAGCAGUGGGGAAUAUUGGGCAAUGGGCGCAAGCCUGACCCAGCAACGCCGCGUGAAGGAAGAAGGCUUUCGGGUUGUAAACUUCUUUUCUCAGGGACGAAGAAAGUGACGGUACCUGAGGAAUAAGCCACGGCUAACUACGUGCCAGCGGCCGCGGUAAUACGUAGGUGGCAAGCGUUAUCCGGAUUGAUUGGGUGUAAAGGGCGUGUAGGCGGGAGCGCAAGUCAGAUGUGAAAACUCAGGGCCCAACCCUGAGCCUGCAUUUGAAACUGUGUUUCUUGAGUGCUGGAGGGGCAGGCGGAAUGCCGGGUGUAGCGGUGAAAUGCGUAGAUAUCAGGAGGAACACCAGCGGCGAAGGCGGACUGCUGGACCGCAACUGACGCUGAGGCGCGAAAGCGUGGGGAGCGAACAGGAUUAGAUACCCGGGUAGUC
This 443-nucleotide ribosomal RNA is filed under the name uncultured bacterium. Its description in RNAcentral is "partial 16S ribosomal RNA". It matches the Rfam family "Bacterial small subunit ribosomal RNA", at positions 338 to 795 of the family's 1533-position model. The record is from RNAcentral.